GAGCAUCGAGUCGCCCAACCUGGGGUUCGGGGUGGAUCCUUUCCUGCCCCAUCUCCUGGAGGACGAACAAGGGCCCAUCUCCGACCUGGAGCCCGAGCUGGAUUCCCAAAAUUGGCAGCAGAUGGUCAGCAGGGACCUGGUGGCCAACCUGCCCCUCAUCUAUACCUUCCUAUAGCUUUCUCCUCCCUCUAAACCAGCUUUGAGAGAGCAGAGGGGGGAGGCCAGGGGUGCCCCGGGGGGGAGUUUUUGGGGGGAUGUCCCCCCCCUUUAGUUCUCCAUCCUCCUGGGGGGGCCAGGGGGCACCUCUGUUCCCUUGUGUCUCCUGCAGGAGCUUACAGGAACCCGGGUAGAUGCCCUCUGGGGGACCCACUAGGCUUUUUUGGUUGUGGUUUUUAAGCUCGAGAGUCAGAGGCUUUUGUACUCCUUGUGCUGAUGGCCCCGGGUUCAAGCCCCAGUAGGGCCCCAGGUAGAUACUGGGGAGCACUGGGAGGGGGGUGGCUGGACGUUGGGUGGCCACAGAGGACUCCCACCCGGCGCCUUUGCUCUUCCUUCCCCUCUUUUUUUGCAACCCCCCAGGAGCAUCGAGUCGCCCAACCUGGGGUUCGGGGUGGAUCCUUUCCUGCCCCAUCUCCUGGAGGACGAACAAGGGCCCAUCUCCGACCUGGAGCCCGAGCUGGAUUCCCAAAAUUGGCAGCAGAUGGUCAGCAGGGACCUGGUGGCCAACCUGCCCCAGAAGGAGAUCGACCGCCAGGAGGUCAUCAACGAGCUCUUUGCCACCGAAGGGUCUCACCUCCGCAUCCUCCGGGUCCUCGACCUCCUCUUCUACCAGCGGCUGAAGAAGGAGAACCUCCUGUCCCGGGAGGAGCUGGGGCUCCUCUUCCCCAACCUCCCCGACCUGAUAGACAUCCACAAUUCUCUCUCCGAAUCCAUGAAGAAGCUCCGGGAAGAAGGACCAAUCAUCAAAGAAAUUGGGGAUCUCAUGCUCUCUCGGGUAAAGGAACGGGGGGGGG
Molecule: long non-coding RNA, 1010 nt
Filed under: Calidris pugnax (ruff)
Lineage: Eukaryota; Metazoa; Chordata; Aves; Charadriiformes; Scolopacidae
Description: lncRNA (ENSCPUG00000001650.1)
Source: RNAcentral